Daphnia magna is the source of this 521-nucleotide long non-coding RNA. RefSeq lists it as uncharacterized. The record is from RefSeq and is a predicted model, not a curated record. The transcript is spliced from 3 exons. Lineage: Eukaryota; Metazoa; Arthropoda; Branchiopoda; Diplostraca; Daphniidae.
ACCGAUUAACGUACCGUUAUUUACUACUGCGGAAAGAGAGUGGGAAACCUGUCGCCACUAUAUUGACCAAGAAGUGCUGAAAAGAGACAAAACUCAUUGCCCAAGUUGUGGGAAAGAACCUUUAGUCAGAUCUUCUGACGCUAUCGUAAAAUUGAGGCGCUUAAGCUCGGCUGGAAAAGUGCACAAUCCAGAAAACGAAAGAACAAUGGAACAGCCACAGGCGAGGUUUGGAAACUUAGUUAUCAAAUCCGAUACAGAAGUUGAAAAUUUCCGUCAAAGGAUUUACAACAAAGUUUCUACUACAAAAAAGAAACAGAUGUGUGGGGGAUCGGCUUUUAAGGCCGCAAGAGAAGACUCCAAUGAACAAAAGAAGUAUGACGAGACUGGGCUCGUCGUUAGCUCUUGCAAGCACUGCGUUGUACCAUACGCAAUCAACAUGUUUAAAGGUGAAUCGUGGACCCAUACUGCAUUUAUGCACAACGAAGCCAUGAAAAGUAACGCCAAAUUCUUCUGUUACGACG